RNAcentral lists this ribosomal RNA (209 nucleotides) under uncultured bacterium. Its description in RNAcentral is "partial 16S ribosomal RNA". It matches the Rfam family "Bacterial small subunit ribosomal RNA", at positions 1284 to 1500 of the family's 1533-position model. The record is from RNAcentral.
UGUCUCAGUUCGGAUUGGAGUCUGCAACCCGACUCCAUGAAGCUGGAUUCGCUAGUAAUCGCGCAUCAGCCACGGCGCGGUGAAUACGUUCCCGGGCCUUGUACACACCGCCCGUCAAGCCAUGGAAGCCGGGGGUGCCUGAAGUGUGCAGCCGCAAGGAGCGCCCUAAGGUAAAACCGGUGACUGGGGCUAAGUCGUAACAAGGUACC